GUCGAACGCGAAAGGGGGCAACCCCAAGUAGAGUGGCGGACGGGUGAGUAACGCGUAGGAAUCUACCCAGUAGUGGGGGAUAACCCGGCGAAAGCCGGGCUAAUACCGCAUAGGCCCUACGGGGCAAAGCAGGGGAUCUUCGGACCUUGCGCUAUUGGAUGAGCCUGCGUCGGAUUAGCUAGUUGGUGGGGUAAAGGCCCACCAAGGCGACGAUCCGUAGCUGGUCUGAGAGGAUGAUCAGCCACACUGGGACUGAGACACGGCCCAGACUCCUACGGGAGGCAGCAGUGGGGAAUAUUGGACAAUGGGGGCAACCCUGAUCCAGCAAUGCCGCGUGUGUGAAGAAGGCCUUCGGGUUGUAAAGCACUUUCGGUAGGGAAGAAAAAAGUUUGGCUAAUAUCCAAGCUCUUGACGGUACCUAAAGAAGAAGCACCGGCUAACUCUGUGCCAGCAGCCGCGGUAAUACAGAGGGUGCAAGCGUUAAUCGGAAUUACUGGGCGUAAAGCGUGCGUAGGUGGUUCGGUCAGUCAGAUGUGAAAGCCCUGGGCUCAACCUGGGAACUGCAUUUGAUACUGCUGAGCUAGAGUUUGGUAGAGGGAAGUGGAAUUCCACGUGUAGCGGUGAAAUGCGUAGAUAUGUGGAGGAACACCAGUGGCGAACGCGGCUUCCUGGACUA
This 676-nucleotide ribosomal RNA is filed under the name uncultured bacterium. Its description in RNAcentral is "bacterial SSU rRNA". It matches the Rfam family "Bacterial small subunit ribosomal RNA", at positions 61 to 736 of the family's 1533-position model. The record is from RNAcentral.